This 67-nucleotide transfer RNA is filed under the name Podarcis siculus (Italian wall lizard). Its description in RNAcentral is "tRNA-Arg". The record is from RNAcentral. Lineage: Eukaryota; Metazoa; Chordata; Lepidosauria; Squamata; Lacertidae.
UGGGGGUUAGUCUAACUAAGACUAUUAAUUUCGACUUAAUAAAUUCUAAUACUUUUAGAACCCCUAA